AUGCUGAAUCUAUGUCCUUCACUAACUUCUGAAACCAAGAGAUUUUUCUCCGUAGGUCAAAGCCUUUAUAGGUCAAGUCUUUAUAGGACUUCCAGCAAUCUGCUGUACACAUCAGACACUCACGUGAGGCAUUCAGGUGAAAACACCAACAGGAAACUACCUAAAAACCCUGGAAAACGCUGGCGUGCAACCGGGCACCGAGGCUUCCCCCGCGGCGGACAAGGCGCCCCAGAGCUGGCCCCCGAGCGCGGCCCGCGCCCGGGGGACACGCUGGACCAGUGGGUCUCUGCCUUUCUGGUGUACGCCAGCGUGCUGUGCGAGAAGCACCCGGCCCGCUGCGGGGCCAUGUUCAAGUACCUGGACACCAUCCGCAAACUGCACGCCACUUACGGGGGCACCUCGUGGAUGAGCUACGACGAGGACUUCCGGCGGCGGGCAGCCAAGGACCCGACCCUGCCAUGGGGCGACGUGGACCUGGACCUGUGGAUGAAGUGGAUGGCACCCCUCAAGUCGCUCGUCAGCAGGCAUCAGCAUGCCGAGAGCGAGCAGCAGGCCCCGCCGCCGCCCCCGCCAGCCCCGCAGCCACCCCAGAGUCCCAAGCAGGAGGAGAAAAGCCAGACCCCAUGAAAACAGAAGGCCAGUUGGAAGGGCAGUCAGACUAAGUGG
This 666-nucleotide long non-coding RNA is filed under the name Apteryx haastii (Great spotted kiwi). RNAcentral describes it as "lncRNA (ENSAHAG00000007321.1)". Lineage: Eukaryota; Metazoa; Chordata; Aves; Apterygiformes; Apterygidae. The record is from RNAcentral.